RNAcentral lists this long non-coding RNA (370 nucleotides) under Scleropages formosus (Asian bonytongue). RNAcentral describes it as "lncRNA (ENSSFOG00015033100.1)". The record is from RNAcentral. Lineage: Eukaryota; Metazoa; Chordata; Actinopteri; Osteoglossiformes; Osteoglossidae.
CGUGCGCGCGCGCGCUCGGCACGGGGCGGGCUCGCGGCCGGGGCAGAACUGCGGCUGUGGCCGUGCGCGAGCGGAUCGGCUCGGCUAGAGAGGGACUCUCGCUUGGAGCGAAGCGGUCGCGAACGAUAUAUCUUCUUCUCUGCGAUGAACUGCCUCUGGGAAGCUGUGCAGUAGACCUGCAUCUGACCACUGAGGGAGGUGUGAUAGCAGAGGAGACCCUGAGAAGCAAGGCCUGGGAAUCACGUGGCUGUAUAUUGUGAACGUCACUGUUUGAGUCAGUCGCAAAACCCUUUCUGCAUUAUGAUUAUGAUUCUGUGAAAAGUUAUUGCUGUGUCAGUCACAUUAUUUUCCUCUUUCUCUCUCAGGGCUG